UGGACAAUUGCAGAAGAACAGAGGCCUGAUUAAGGGUCAGAUUGAACGCUGGCGGGAUGCUUUACACAUGCAGUCGAACGGCAGCACGACCGGUUCAGUGGCGAGUGGUAUAAAACGGUAUAAUACCGGAACGCCUUAGUAGCGGGGAUAACUACGCGAAAGCGUAGCUAAUACCGCAUACGCCUCGUGCGGGAGCGGGGAUCUUUCGGGCCCCGCACUAUUAGAGCGGCCGAUAUCGGAUUAUUAGCCAGUUGGCGCACGCCCACCAAGGCGACGAUCCAGAAGCUGGUCGGAGAGGAUCGACCGUCACACGCGGGACUGAGACACGGCCCAGACUCCUACGGGAGGCAGCAGUGGGGAAAUUUGACAAUGGGGGAAACCCUGACCAGCCACCCGCGUGCGAUGAAGGCCUUCGGGUUGUAAAGCACUUAGCAGGUGAAAGAACGGCACGUGGGAUAAUACCCUGUGCACCGACGGUACCUGCAGAAUAAGCACCGGCUAACUACGUGCUACAGCCAGCGGUAAAUAGGUGCAAGCGCUGUUAACUGGAACUGGCCGGGCGCAGCGCGCGGCGGCGGUUCGGAAAGAAAGAUGCAACCCAGAGCGAACUGAACUCAUUUUAACCACCGAGCUAGGAGUGCAGUCAGGAGGGAGGUGGAAUUCCGCGGCAGGAAAGGAACAAGUAGAUAUGCGGAGGAACACUGACGGCGAAGGCAGCCCUGGGAUAACACUGACGCUCAUGCACGAAGCGGGGAGCAAACAGGACAGAUGACCGGGUAGUCCACGCCCUAAACGAUGUCAACUAGCUGUUAGCCUUCGGGCCUUGGUAGCAGCUAACGCGUGAAGCGGACCGCCCGGGAGUACGGUCGCAAGAUUAAAAUCCUCAAAGGAAUUGACGUGGGGACCCGCACAAGCGGUGGGAUGAUGAUUAAUUCGAUGCAACGCGAAAAACCUUACCUACCCUUGACAUGUCUGGAAUCCCGAAGAGAUUUGGGAGUGCUCGCAAGAGAACCGGAACACAGGUGCUGCAUAGCUGUCGUCAGCUCGUGUCGAGAUGUUGGGUUAAGUCCCGCAACGAGCGCAACCUUUGUCAUUAGUUACGAAAGGGCACUCUAAUGAGAUCGCCGGUGACAAACCGAGGAAGGUGGGGAUGACGUCAAGUCCUCAUGGCCCUUAUGGGUAGGGGCUUCUCACACGUCAUACAAUGUCGGACAGAGGGUCGCCAACCCGCGAGAGGGGGAGCCAAUCCCAGAAACCCGAUCGUAGUCCGGAUCGCAGUCUGCAACUCGACCGCGUGAAGUCGGAAUCGCUAGUAAUCGCGGAUCAGCAUGUCGCGGUGAAUACGUUCCCGGGUCUUGUACACACCGCCCGUCACACCAUGUGGAGUGGGUUUUACCAGAAGUAGUUAGCCUUCCUAACCGUGCGAGGGCGAUUACCACGGUAGGAUUCAGCGACUGGGUGAAGUCGUAACAAGGUAG
Molecule: ribosomal RNA, 1478 nt
Filed under: uncultured Bordetella sp.
Lineage: Bacteria; Pseudomonadati; Pseudomonadota; Betaproteobacteria; Burkholderiales; Alcaligenaceae
Description: partial 16S-23S ribosomal RNA intergenic spacer
Rfam family: Bacterial small subunit ribosomal RNA
Source: RNAcentral